Molecule: long non-coding RNA, 467 nt
Filed under: Homo sapiens (human)
Lineage: Eukaryota; Metazoa; Chordata; Mammalia; Primates; Hominidae
Description: HSALNT0250071
Source: RNAcentral
GGAACCCAGGCCCUCCAACGCUGAACAAUACUGUUUCCUCUGGAAGGGAGCUGUCAAAAACGCCAUCUCAACUCGCGUCAUUCUUGUACGUGUGCACGACUGAAGCCUAGAGUGCGCCUGGGGAUGCCCUGUGAGUCUCACGUCUGCUCAGGGUGGCAUUCCCACUGCCCUCCGGGGCCCAGAGACAAGCUCGGAGCAACGGCGAGCAGUCACCCCUUCCCCUGGGCCACCUGCGCACACGGGAAACGUGCCAGGAGUAGCGCCUGCCUCUCCGUCGCACCACUGGGACUAUUCUUGCAUCGGUUGCCUUUGAUGGGUCCUUUCGGUGAACCUAUGGUGGUGCUUCUGGUGCAUCUCGCUGUCAUCAUGGCUGCAGGAGUCAGGGCUGGGGUUAAGAAUUUGUCUGGAAUUGGGUUUGCCAUUUUCCAGGUUGGGGGUCAGGCCUCUGGACAAAACCAGGGCUUAAA